RNAcentral lists this long non-coding RNA (207 nucleotides) under Vitis vinifera (wine grape). Its description in RNAcentral is "long non-coding RNA (VVIN_LNC004193)". The record is from RNAcentral. Lineage: Eukaryota; Viridiplantae; Streptophyta; Magnoliopsida; Vitales; Vitaceae.
CCUGUAGGACUCCCCUGAGCAGAAAAUUCUGGUUUCCUUCUUCUUCUCCAAACGUCACUUGAAUGUUAUCUCUCUCGUCUUUUACAGUUCCUCUUCUCCUCCUCCUCUUUCUUCUUUCUUUUGACUUUCCAAAAUUACUCAAAAACCUACUCUCAAAAGACCUCUCCAGUAAAAUCCUCUUUUUUUCUCAUCUUUCUUCUAUGCUCC